RNAcentral lists this long non-coding RNA (1351 nucleotides) under Phaseolus vulgaris (common bean). Its description in RNAcentral is "long non-coding RNA (PVUL_LNC000550)". The record is from RNAcentral. Lineage: Eukaryota; Viridiplantae; Streptophyta; Magnoliopsida; Fabales; Fabaceae.
CUUUCGUGUGCCGGAGCCGAUCGGCUUCAAACCGGCAUGAGAGGUGCCUUUGGAAAGCCACAGGGUGUUUGUGCUAGAGUGGCUAUUGGCCAGGUCCUGCUCUCUGUCCGCUGCAAGGACAGCAACAGCCAUCAUGCGCAAGAGGCCCUCCGCCGGGCUAAAUUCAAGUUCCCCGGCCGCCAAAAGAUCAUUGUUAGCAGGAAGUGGUAUGUAUCUGGAGAGAUGGCUGCUAACUUAUUCACAGUUUUUGAAUUUGAAUUGUGAAAAGUAUUGUUUUCAGAAUCUUCCGAUUCACAAUUGCAUCAAAUUUGGCUACCUUCUAAUUCGUAUCAUAAUAUGAAUCUUAAAUGAAUUUAUAUUGUGCAGUACAUGAAUGAAUCUGUGUUUUGAAUACAAUUCACGUGAUUCAUAUAUUUCUUUUAAAUUGCCAUGAUAACAAAAUUGAGGCACAUGAGCUUAAAUUUUUGUAAUGAAAAGGGAUUGAAAGAACACUGGUGAAUGUAUCCUGUUUGAUUAUUCCACUACUUUAUUUGUUACUCAUUCAUUUAAUGCAUUUUCUCUAUUUGUCUAUUUAAUCACAUUGUUUUAACUCUCUUAAGAUAGUGGUUUUACUAAUUCAGACAUAACUAAUAGUUUUGUAUGACUUCUGCUUAAAUUGUGUUUUUGUCUAUUUCUAGUUUACAUUGAACAUUAUAUAUAAUCUGUAUGGAUACAUCUUAAGUAAAUUUUUUAUUGAUAUCAACAAUUCACAAUUUGAGUCUCAAUUUGGUAACCUUGUUGUAAGUAGUUUACAUAUAUAUUAUAGAUAGAUUUGCACUGUUUCUUUUGUGUAUGGCUUUAACUCUUGGUUUUAAAUUCUUGCUUAGGGGGUUCACCAAGUUUAACCGCACUGACUAUUUGAAGUUGAAGUCAGAGAACAGGAUUAUGCCUGAUGGUGUUAAUGCCAAGGUAAUGUGAAGUUGCUUGAUAAUGCAAUAUGAUGUGAUUGACACUGUAUAGGAAGUAGAUUUUAUCAUGCUGAGAAUGUUUUUACUUGUUCACUUGUAUCUUAGGGAAUGCAUUGAAUUAUGUUUCUGAAUGAAAUUUUCUUUGUGUCUUAAAUUAGUUUUUAUUAGUGCUUGUAAUUGUCCUUCUGAAUCACAUGUUCUGUUUUGUGAUUUUGCAGCUUCUUGGGUGCCAUGGACCACUGGCUAAUCGCCAACCAGGAAGGGCCUUUUUGUCCAGUGCUACUACCUAGACUGUUUGUUACUCAGAAAUAUUAGUCUUUGAGAAUCAUGUUUGUUUUGCAAUGGUGAACUUUGUUUGUGUUUGUGUUUUCUGCACAUUCAACUUGAGUUAAUUUUUGUUUUGC